CUCUCUUGCUCGCGGAGAGCUGGAUGGAGUGUUGAAGGACCAGAGACAAAUCAUCUUGAAUUGUCCCCAAACCCUGAACAGCCGUGGGCUGCCCACCGCUUGGCCUAACAGCCUUGUGACUGGUUUUGAAACACCGUGAAGCUGACACUACGUGGGGACAUGGUAUUUGGGGUGACCCAAGUCCGUGUUCCUGAUCCAGGGGAUCCACUGUGCCCUCUCUGGACCUCCUCAGGCUCCUGCAUACACUCUGGCAGAAAUACAUAUAUACAAAAUAAAUGAGUACUCUGUU
Peromyscus eremicus (cactus mouse) is the source of this 289-nucleotide long non-coding RNA. RefSeq lists it as uncharacterized. The transcript has 2 exons. The record is from RefSeq and is a predicted model, not a curated record. NCBI's taxonomy places the organism in Eukaryota, Metazoa, Chordata, Mammalia, Rodentia, Cricetidae.